AUUGAACGCUGGCGGCAUGCCUUACACAUGCAAGUCGAACGGCAGCACGGGAGCAAUCCUGGUGGCGAGUGGCGAACGGGUGAGUAAAGUAUCGGAACGUGCCCAGUCGUGGGGGAUAACGUAGCGAAAGUUACGCUAAUACCGCAUACGAUCUAUGGAUGAAAGCGGGGGAUCGCAAGACCUCGCGCGAUUGGAGCGGCCGAUAUCAGAUUAGGUAGUUGGUGGGGUAAAGGCUCACCAAGCCGACGAUCUGUAGCUGGUCUGAGAGGACGACCAGCCACACUGGGACGGAGACACGGCCCAGUCUCCGACGGGAGGCAGCAGUGGGGAAUUGUGGACAAUGGGCGAAAGCCUGAUCCAGCCAUGCCGCGUGCAGGAUGAAGGCCUUCGGGUUGUAAACUGCUUUUGUACGGAACGAAAAGGUUUGGCCUAAUAAGCUGAGCUCAUGACGGUACCGUAAGAAUAAGCACCGGCUAACUACGUGCCAGCCGCCGCGGUAA
Molecule: ribosomal RNA, 500 nt
Filed under: uncultured bacterium
Lineage: Bacteria
Description: partial 16S ribosomal RNA
Rfam family: Bacterial small subunit ribosomal RNA
Source: RNAcentral